UUACGGUCAAAUCACAUUGAAACAUGGUUCCCGUACGAUUGCUGAAAUUAAGCAACGUCGAGCCUGGUCAGUACCUAGAUGGGUGAACGCUUGGGAAUACCAGGUGUU
This is a non-coding RNA of Acanthosepion pharaonis, 108 nucleotides long. The record is from the annotation of a GenBank genome assembly. Lineage: Eukaryota; Metazoa; Mollusca; Cephalopoda; Sepiida; Sepiidae.